UAGGUGGUUAUGAUUAGAGUCAUUGC
This 26-nucleotide small RNA is filed under the name Bombyx mori (domestic silkworm). Its description in RNAcentral is "ovarian small RNA-22794". Lineage: Eukaryota; Metazoa; Arthropoda; Insecta; Lepidoptera; Bombycidae. The record is from RNAcentral.